Molecule: long non-coding RNA, 5971 nt
Filed under: Medicago truncatula (barrel medic)
Lineage: Eukaryota; Viridiplantae; Streptophyta; Magnoliopsida; Fabales; Fabaceae
Description: long non-coding RNA (MTRU_LNC000380)
Source: RNAcentral
CUAAGAUAGAGGUAGAGAGAGAAAAGGGAUCUUGAAGAGCAAAUAAGAACUAGAGGGAGAAAGCUCGGGGUUGGUGGCUAGGAGCUAAAUUGAAGUUAGAAAUUGAAUUCUUGUAAAGUAGAGGUAAGGGGGAUAGUCUCUUUUUCACUAAUUAAGUUAAAAUCACUUUUUCUACUUGUGGGUUUAAGUGCUUUUGUUAUAAUUGUGACUUUUUGUGAAAUUUAAUGAUAAAAUCCAUGCUCCUUUUUCAUGUGAAAUUCUGUGUAUGAUAAACUUCAUCAAUAUCUUGUGUUAGUAGCUUAAACUUCAUAGUUGUUGUUGUUAUUGAGUUGUUUACAUGAUUAUUUACUAUUUGAGUGAAAUUCAUGAAUUGGUGUAUGAUUGUUGUUGAAAUAUGUUUGAAUUCAUUUCACUAAUGAUUGUUUAUGUCAAUGUGUUGAUGGUGUUUGAAUUGGUGUGGUUGUUUUGAAAUUUGAAUGAGAAAUGAGAAAUGAGAAAAAUGGUUGUUUUUGGUGAAAAUGAACUAGAUGAUGAAUUUUAGGUGAAUUGGUGUUUUAAUUUGGUCUUCGUUGUUGUUUUGAAUGCCUUUUCAUGUUUGUAAUCAAGUGUAUAGGUCUUGGGGUCGAAUUUGGGAUCAAGGGGAUCAAAAUUGGGGUUUUGGUGUGAAAAGUUGGGAGUUCCCGAGAGGGAACAACCAAAACAAGGUAACAUGUUCUAGUGCAACUCGCCAGGCGAGUUGCUCAAGGACUGACCCCUUCGUUUUGGUCAUUUCGGGCAUUCGGGGUCGAUCCGAGUGGUUCCAAACUGAUUCUUUUGAUGUAAUUAAAUGUAUUUGAGCUUUCUAAUCCUUUGGAAACAUCAAUUGAGUUAGAUUGAACUUGAUUUUGUGAAUCGUAUCAUAAACUUUUGAAAAUGGUUCAAGAACAUGAAAUUUCGGAAAACGCGAUUUCUCAAGGGAAAAGGGGUAGGACUAGGGUUGUUUAGUAUUAUUAUGAUUUAUAAAAAUAUUUUGGAUGGGAAAGAUGAACUUUGAUUUGGUUUUGCUUUGAAAACUUGAAUUCUUUGAAAAAUGGCAAAAUGAUACGAACUUUGUGAAACUUUGGGAUUGGGUUGUAUUGGCCUAUGAGACGUGUAUUAUACUUAGUUGAGGCAUUCAAACUUGUUUGAAUUGUUUUGACAAAUAACUUGGAAAAAUGAUAAAACGAUACAAACUUAGGAAAUUUGGGUAUUUGUCGGCUUUGGCCUAUGAAACGUAUGCGUACACGCUACUGAACUUAUAUGUGAUUUGUAUAUAUACUCGGUUGAGGCGUUUGAAUUUAUUUACUUUGGUUUUGGAGGAUUUGUCGGAAAAUGCUAAUUUUAAUAAACUUAGCCGAACUUUGUCAAACUAAUGUCUUAUGGUCAGAAUACUUUUAGGAAACUUUGAAUUCAGUUAGUAACAUUUAAUGUGAAUGACAUGGUAAGAAUUGGGUGUCUAAAUUGAUGAAUGUCAUUUUAUGGCUAAAUGUCCGUUUUUAUGUGAAAGGUAAAUUUUAAACCUUAUGGUUUCUUUGAGGUGUCAAAUGUUGUUGAUGAUGUUGAUGUUAAUUCUUAUGGUGUUUAUGAAUAGAUGUUUUUUAUGAUGACUUGUUGAUUGUAUGAAUGUAAGAAUUUGAUAAUGAAAUUGUUGGUGAAUAACAUAAAUGCGGGGUGAUUACCAUGUUAAUGUUUUAUGGUGGUUAAUUAUGCAUUGUCGAUUCCUUACUUGAAAUUCAUGCAUUCAUAGUCAUAUGAGGUGAUCUUGAAGUAUGUAACUGCGGGGUGAUUAUUACAUAGCUUAUGCAGGACAUAAAUGCGGGGUGGUUAUUAUGUCGGUGGAUGUAUAACGGUAAAAUUAUCUCCGGAAUCCUAUGGUACCACAUGCAUUUAGAAGAGUCUAGAACAUUGCAUACUUGAUUAUGUGUUACAAUGUGUACUUUGAGGGUGAAGCAAGUUCCACCUAAUAUAAGUGCGCGUUGGCUGUAACACCCCGUUACCCAAAAUCAAUUUAAUAAUAAAUAAAUAUGCAUCAGAGUAAUUCCCAAACGGGCAUGUCACACUUCUAAUUCAAAAUUUCUUAAAUAGUAUAUAAAACUAUUUAAUAAACAACCAACUUUAAUCAUUUCAUCAAAACCUUGCAGCGGAAUAUUUUUCAGCUUAAUUAAUAACAACAUCCAACAUAAUUAUUCUCCAACAAAUAGUCUUGGCAUAAAAAUCUCAUCAAAGAAAAUCAAACAACAAUAGGGCUACAUCAAUAUUAUCCAAAAUUUGAUACAUAGGAAAGAAGGUAAGCAUUAAAAUCCCAAUUCCACGUAUCAAAGCCCUAGACACUUUGAGCCACCACCUACUACUCAGGAUCACUUGCAAGUUACCCAUAGGAAGGGCAACAUUUUCAAGCAGAAGGGGUGAGAUUCACAACAAUAAAUAUAGAUAAUAAAUUCAUCAAUUUGAAUCUAACACCCUAUCAUAAAUAUAAUUCAUCAACAUAUAUAAAUAUCAUCAUUAUCAAAUCAUCAACAAAUGGUAAAUAAGACCAACACCAUCGAUUCAUGCAACCCACAACCGCUCCACUAAGACUCUUCUACAACACUCAUGCAUGUGGUACCAUAAUCAGGGCCGAAGACCUCACCGCUAAUCGAAUGGUUAAAGCAUUCUUUUUCAGGACAUGAGUCCUCACCGCUUUGAUCAACAAAGUGUUCCACCGCUUUGAACGACAAGGCGUUCCAGAGCCGAAGCCCUCCCGCUUUAUACUUAUGCAACUGACCCACUUGUGUAUAUCUACAUACAACUCAACCAAAUGCAUAUAUAUGUAUAUGACUCACCACUCCAUAAUGCAACAUCAUGUAUAACUUAAUUAAAUGGAAGCAUACAUUCCAGCCAACAACAAAUCAUUAUAACCAAUCCAAACAUCCCAUAAAAAUACACCAUUUACAAUAGCCAUGCUUAAAUAUCAAGAUCAAUCAACAAUCAUCAAAACAGAAGCAACAACUCAAAUACUGGAAAACUCGCCUCGCGAGCACUUCUACUCGCUAUGGCGAGCACAAUGAAACGGCUUGCUCGCCAUGGCGAACUCAAGGCGAAUGAAAAUAUGGUGCUCUCGGGAGUUUUGACAUUUUUCUCACUAAAUCUUAAAUUCUAAGCUCCCUAUUCAUCUUUUUAAUCUAAACUUGCUCCAGUCCUCUCUAAAAUCAUCUAGGUCCACAUAAUACCCACUUGUGUAUAUCUACAUACAACUCAACCAAAUGCAUAUAUAUGUAUAUGACUCACCACUCCAUAAUGCAACAUCAUGUAUAACUUAAUUAAAUGGAAACAUACAUUCCAGCCAACAACAAAUCAUUAUAACCAAUCCAAACAUCCCAUAAAAAUACACCAUUUACAAUAGCCAUGCUUAAAUAUCAAGAUCAAUCAACAAUCAUCAAAACAGAAGCAACAACUCAAAUAAUGGACAACUCGCCUCGUGAGUACUUCUACUCGCUAUGGCGAGCACAACGAAACGGCUUGCUCGCCAUGGCGAACUCAAGGCGAACGAAAAUAUGGUGCUCUCGGGAGUUUUGACAUUUUUCUCACUAAAUCUUAAAUUCUAAGCUCCCUAUUCAUCUUUUUAAUCUAAAACUUGCUCCAGUCCUCUCUAAAAUCAUCCAGGUGCACAAAACUAACCAAAUUACGGCUUAUAACAACAAUUUGAAAACCCAGAAAUUCUCACGGGUACUCGCCACGGCGAGUUGUCUCACUCGCGGGGCGAGCUAUGAAGUUGCUCACUCGCCUUGACGAACAAGGCUACUCGCGAGGCGAGCGAUGAACUUCUGUACGGGCAGAAUGCAGGGUUUACCCAAAAAUCCCAUUUUCCUCCAAUUCACUCCCCAAAUUAGUUUACAGAUAUGAAAUAAAAGGUUGUAUGCACUCAGAACCCAUUUCUGACAUCAAAACAAUAAUUCCUACUCUCAAAACCCAUUAAAUCAACAUAAACCUAAAUUUCCCAAUUUCUACCAAAACCUGUUAAAUUCAAAAUCAGAACUCAAUAACUAUACUACUGAAGCAAACCUCACCCUUAGCUUAGAAUUGCAGAAGAAAUGUACAGCAAAAUCGGUUUCUUCGCUCUACUUGCUCUUCUCUCCCUUUUCUCCCAACUUGACAGUUUUCACGUAAAAAAAAAUGUUUCUGACUCUUUUCUUUCUUUCUUAACUCCCUUCUUAACUUCCCUUUAUUACAUUAAACUCCCCUAAACUUUAAUGAAUUCUAAUUAACUCAUCAACCUCCAAAAUAAUACUAAUUUCUCAUUUAUUAUAAUUAUUAUUAAAAUAAACCAUAUAAUAAAAUAUAACACACCACAUAAAUCACAAAUAUUAAUUAAAAUCAUUUAAAAGACUCUAAUUAACUCUAAAAUAAUUAAAAUAACGACUAGGGCGUUACAUUGGCCAUAACCGUCUUCGAGUUAUGCGGCGUGUGAUUAGGGACGAAACAUAACACGUGUAGUGUGACCCUUGCGCGAUGGCGCGCUCUUGUGUGAUACAAUGCAUGCAAGUUGGCGUGUUCCUUUGGGUGCGGAGUCUUACGGCGGUACAAGUCUGGUCACGUGUCAUCGUGCGGUUGGUCUUCUGACUGUCCAGAACAGUUGCCCCCAAGCCGUUGAUGACUUUAUGGCGCAAUGUGUAACAACCCGAUUUUUAGCUAGAUUUAUUUUAAUUACUUUUAUUAUGUGUUUGUGUGUGAUUGUGUGUAUUUUAUUGUCAUCGGGUGCAUUUACAUGGAUUACCGUAUUAGAAGGGUAUUUUGGUCAUUUGGCGGGUAAGGGUAAAAUGGUAAUUUUGGUGAGAAUUAUUUUAAUAAUUAGUGAGAACCCUUAUUUUACUAAGUUACUAGUGUAGUGAUUAGUUUUUACCGUUAGUGACCGUUGGUUAUAUUUUACCAUCUUCUUAUAUAUUAAAGUUAACAAGUAAGCCCUAAUUUUAACCUAAAUCCUAUUGCAUAAUUUUACUGUUUUAACCCUAAUGUUCACACCUAAUCUCCUAUUUUCAUGAACAAUCUUCUUAUAUAUUAAAGUUAACAUGUAAGCCCUAAUUUUAACCUAAACCCUAUUGCAUAAUUUUACUGUUUUAACCCUAAUGUUCACACCUAAUCUCCUAUUUUCGUGAACAAUCUUCUUGUAUAUUAAAGUUAACAUGUAAGCCCUAAUUUUAACCUAAACCCUAUUGCAUAAUUUUACUGUUUUAACCCUAAUGUUCACACCUAAUCUCCUAUUUUCAUGAACAAUCCUAAUGUUCUCUCCUAAUCUUCUUAUCUUCUUAUUCCUAAACAAAGCUUUGUUGCCUUAAUUUUAACCUAAUAUUUUAACCCUAAUAUUUUAGUAACUUUUCCCUCCUUUAAAACCUAACCAUAUUUCCUAAUUCUCCUCCUCCAAACCUUAACCAUCUAACUUCACUCCUCCUAAACCAUAUUUCCUAAUUCCCCUCCUCCAAACCCUAACCAAUAUAUUUUAAUCCUUUCUCCUAAACCGAAAUCUCUUUUCAACAUGGCUUCAAGAAACAUUCAGACUUUGCUGUCAUACCACUGCCUCACUGGUAACCAUAUCUUCAUUCCACUCUGGUUUAAACUAAAUAUAUAGAUUUUUGCUCUUAUUCCUCGCUGUUUUAAAGUAUAAAUCAUUCUUUCGAUCCCUUUCAAUCUUUUGUAGGUCCGUUGGUGAAAAACUCUUUUUCCGAUCUUGACAAAACAAUCAACAAGCUCAGACUGAAAUACAGAUCAUAUAUCGUUGAAUAUGACAUUGAUGUUGUAUGUGUUUUUUGUGAAAUAUACCAAUUCUUAAUUAUUUGCAUUCUAUUUUUAUCAAUGUUUGUGAUGUUUUUGUUUGUUAUUUUUUUAGGGUGCAGUAUGCUUGCGUAACAUGUUUGGCGGUGAUUUCGAAGAUCAAAUUGGGCGCUAUGCAAUAUUAACUGAUCCUAAGUCCAACAAGGUG